Molecule: long non-coding RNA, 715 nt
Organism: Oncorhynchus kisutch (coho salmon)
Lineage: Eukaryota; Metazoa; Chordata; Actinopteri; Salmoniformes; Salmonidae
Exons: 4
Source: RefSeq, a predicted model, not a curated record
AAUUCCAAACUAAUUUCUAUGGCAACAUAGUUGUCAAUUUUGUAAACAAUCAUUUUCGAACGUGUGUUGCCAAGAGACAUCUAACCGACGUUCUAUGGAACGUUUUCUGUGCGAAAACAACAACUUUGCUGCUGACAACAAACUUGUUUGAUUUUUGAGACCUGAGAACAAUCGACUGGAAAAUGCCUGGGUGCUUUUCAAGACUGGCGGAGAGAGUGCGUGGACGUCGGCGGCCUACUGCGUCGACAGGUUGUUCAAAUUCAUUUGUGGCUUGUUUUUCUUGUCUUUUUCUGUUUUGCAGGGUUCGUGAUCGUUGACAGCGACAGCGACUUCGAAGAGGAAACAACUGUCCUGGAUGAGGUCCAGUUGGAUGUGCCAUUGGAUGAUGUGCCAGAUGUUCCACAGCUGCCAGUCCUCCUUGAUGUCCAGAAUGCUGCUAUCAUCCUUGAGGAUGUGCCAGAUGUGCCAGAUGUGCAGACUAUCCUUGAGAACAAUGCCGGUCCGGUGGUUAAAGCUUGGAGAACUUUCCAGUUCAUCAGCCCCAUCAUCACCUACAUGCGUGGGGGAUCCCAGCAGGUGGUGGUGAGGAUGCACCACGUGAGUAGGGUGAGAGGCCUGGAGACUCAACUGGUGUGGGCCAUCUCCAAGGAGACAGCCAGGCUUAGUCCAGAGGGCAUCCCCUACUGUGCCACCAAAGUGCAGUCCAUCACUUGGA